This 930-nucleotide ribosomal RNA is filed under the name uncultured bacterium SE-95. Its description in RNAcentral is "bacterial SSU rRNA". It matches the Rfam family "Bacterial small subunit ribosomal RNA", at positions 25 to 952 of the family's 1533-position model. The record is from RNAcentral.
UNAAGAACGCUGGCGGUAGGCCUAACACAUGCAAGUCGAACGGCAGCACAGGAGAGCUUGCUCUCUGGGUGGCGAGUGGCGGACGGGUGAGGAAUACAUCGGAAUCUACUUUUUCGUGGGGGAUAACGUAGGGAAACUUACGCUAAUACCGCAUACGACCUACGGGUGAAAGCAGGGGAUCUUCGGACCUUGCGCGAUUGAAUGAGCCGAUGUCGGAUUAGCUAGUUGGCGGGGUAAAGGCCCACCAAGGCGACGAUCCGUAGCUGGUCUGAGAGGAUGAUCAGCCACACUGGAACUGAGACACGGUCCAGACUCCUACGGGAGGCAGCAGUGGGGAAUAUUGGACAAUGGGCGCAAGCCUGAUCCAGCCAUACCGCGUGGGUGAAGAAGGCCUUCGGGUUGUAAAGCCCUUUGUUUGGGAAAGAAAUCCAGCUGGCUAAUACCCGGUUGGGAUGACGGUACCCAAAGAAUAAGCACCGGCUAACUUCGUGCCAGCAGCCGCGGUAAUACGAAGGGUGCAAGCGUUACUCGGAAUUACUGGGCGUAAAGCGUGCGUAGGUGGUCGUUUAAGUCCGUUGUGAAAGCCCUGGGCUCAACCUGGGAACUGCAGUGGAUACUGGGCGACUAGAGUGUGGUAGAGGGUAGCCGGAAUUCCUGGUGUAGCAGUGAAAUGCGUAGAGAUCAGGAGGAACAUCCAUGGCGAAAGCAGCUCCUGGACCAACACUGACACUGAGGCACGAAAGCCUGGGGAGCAAACAGGAUUAGAUCCCUGGUAGUCCACGCCCUAAACGAUGCNAACUGGAUGUUGGGUGCAAUUGGCACGCANUAUCGAACUUACGCGUAAGUUCNCCNCUGGGGAAUACGGUCNAAGACUGAACUUAAANGGAUUGACGGGGGNCCCNACAACCGGUGGANUAUGGGGGUUAAUUC